This 601-nucleotide ribosomal RNA is filed under the name uncultured bacterium. Its description in RNAcentral is "bacterial SSU rRNA". It matches the Rfam family "Bacterial small subunit ribosomal RNA", at positions 721 to 1326 of the family's 1533-position model. The record is from RNAcentral.
GCAGCCGACGAGUCCUUAACUGACGCUAAAGCUCGAAAGUGCGGGUAUCGAACAGGAUUAGAUACCCUGGUAGUCCGCACGGUAAACGAUGGAUGCCCGCUGUUUGCGAUAUAUUGUAAGCGGCCAAGAGAAAUCGUUAAGCAUCCCACCUGGGGAGUACGCCGGCAACGGUGAAACUCAAAGGAAUUGACGGGGGCCCGCACAAGCGGAGGAACAUGUGGUUUAAUUCGAUGAUACGCGAGGAACCUUACCCGGGCUUGAACUGCAGGCGUACGAUACAGAGAUGUUGAGGCCCUUCGGGGCGCCUGUGGAGGUGCUGCAUGGUUGUCGUCAGCUCGUGCCGUGAGGUGUCGGCUUAAGUGCCAUAACGAGCGCAACCCCUUUCUCCAGUUGCCAUCAGGUGAUGCUGGGCACUCUGGAGACACUGCCACCGUAAGGUGUGAGGAAGGUGGGGAUGACGUCAAAUCAGCACGGCCCUUACGUCCGGGGCUACACACGUUGAACAAUGGGUGGUACAGAGAGUCGGUGCAUCGCAAGUUGCAUCUAAUCAUGAAAGCCAUCCUCAGUUCGGAUUGGGGUCUGCAACCCGACCCCAUGAAGC